This 497-nucleotide ribosomal RNA is filed under the name uncultured bacterium. RNAcentral describes it as "partial 16S ribosomal RNA". It matches the Rfam family "Bacterial small subunit ribosomal RNA", at positions 28 to 507 of the family's 1533-position model. The record is from RNAcentral.
GAUGAACGCUGGCGGCGUGCCUAAUACAUGCAAGUCGAGCGAACGUACGUGAAGCUUGCUUUUCUGAUGUUAGCGGCGGACGGGUGAGUAACACGUGGAUAACCUACCUAUAAGACUGGGAUAACUUCGGGAAACCGGAGCUAAUACCGGAUAAUAUUUUGAACCGCAUGGUUCAAAAGUGAAAGACGGUCUUGCUGUCACUUAUAGCUGGAUCCGCGCGGCAUUAGCUAGUUGGUAAGGUAACGGCUUACCAAGGCAACGAUGCAUAGCCGACCUGAGAGGGUGCUCGGCCACACUGGAAGUGAGACACGGUCAGGACUCCAGCGGGAAGCAGCAGUAGGGAAUCUUCCGCAGUGGGCGAAGGCCUGACGGAGCAACGGCGCGUGAGUGAUGAAGGUCUGCGGAUCGUAAAACUCUGUUAUUAGAAGAGAACAGGUGUGUAAGUAACUGUACACAUCAUGACAGUACCUAAUCAGAAAGCCACGGCUAACUAGGUG